RNAcentral lists this unclassified non-coding RNA (88 nucleotides) under Komagataella phaffii CBS 7435. Lineage: Eukaryota; Fungi; Ascomycota; Pichiomycetes; Pichiales; Pichiaceae. The record is from RNAcentral.
AACGCCUUACAUUUUUGAGAGGACUAUCUAUUGAUUGAACAAGAUAUGUACCUGGCCUCAAGAAAGAUACUACCUUGCCAUUGCUUAA